RNAcentral lists this long non-coding RNA (2777 nucleotides) under Lupinus angustifolius (narrow-leaved blue lupine). RNAcentral's name for it is "long non-coding RNA (LANG_LNC001148)". Lineage: Eukaryota; Viridiplantae; Streptophyta; Magnoliopsida; Fabales; Fabaceae. The record is from RNAcentral.
GCUGGGAAGUUCUGAUCUCCAUGACUACCACCCAUACUGCCCAUAGCUCCACCAUAAACAAAGCCCCUUCCACUACCAUAGGAAGCUCCUCUUCCCUUUCCAACCAAUGUGCCUUUUAAUUUACCUGAUUCUGAUGUGGUAUCAAUUUCUCCAGGAUCUGUUUUUGUAGGAGAUGAAGAUUGAGAUCCACUACCAGGUCGAUGACCCAGCUGUGGUGCAGGGGCUUGUACAGAAGAUGAAGUUCGACCUGGCACAGAACUUCUCUGAGCAGCAUGGAGCUGAGUAGGAGCAGUUCUGUUCACUCGGGUAUGUGAAGUAGCUGGCUGAUAAUUCAUGUGUGCAGGGAUUACUCCACCCCUUCCACGAGCCCUUAGAUGAGGAGAGUGAGAAGGAUUAACUCCAGAAGAUUGCAAAUUGUUCAUAGGCUUUCCGGCAGAUGGAUUGACAGAGUCGUCAAUAUACAGCUUGUCCAUGCUGAUAGAAUCAACAACAUUCUUUCCCCGAAGCGAGGCAUUGUUUUGUUGAACUGAAAAACCCUCAUUGGUAGGGAGAAAGUUCUUGCUUGUGGUUCCAGUUUGGACAUCCCUUUUUGGAGUCAGAUUAAUCUCUUUGUUGGAAGAUCCUGAAGGGUAAAAGGGGGGAGAUGCAUAGUUCAAAUUUGAAGACACUUGUUUCUUAGCAGGCGCGGGAUCAGAUUCUGAAGUGGAGGCGGGUUCGAAAAUUCUCCCUGAGCUAACAUGUGAGGUUUUCUCAAGAGACUCCAAAGAUCUUGUAAAAGACAAGAAAAUAAUUAUCAGAAAGCCUUGACAUAUAUUGGUUGCAUUUGUCCAACUAAUCUAAUCUUAUCUCGUAAAACACAAAGUAUGCACUCACUGUUUAUUUUGCAUCUGGAAUGCUGGACCGUUGCUUUUCUUAUUAGCGGGCUCGUACCUUCGCGGCCCUCUACCUCGAACAACAACCUUAGGGACCUGACCUUGACUGCCACUGUUAUCAUAUCCUGUUCUGUGUCCUCUUGCAUAUCCUCCACGAUCAACAGCUCGAGUUCUGCCACGGCCUCCUCGAUAAUUACCUCUAGAAGGUCUCCUUCCCUAUAUUUUAAACAAUUAUCAGAAAGGUACCACUUGAAAAAAAAAUAAAGGUUAAUAGUAUUGCAUUGUUACAAGACUAUCACCUCUUUGUAGUGCCUUUCUUGCAAAGUCAUCUCAUCAAACUUAUCAUGUCCCCAUUUUCUUUCAUCUUUGGACUCCCACAGUCUCCUUCCACCAUUCAUCCGCCUGAAAAAGAAAAGGAAGGGGGAAGGCUAUGUAAUUUAUGGUUAACGUAAAUAUCAACCAUGUAAAACUAUAGUAGUCUCUAGUGUAUGUACACGACACGAUGGUACGUAGCGUAUGUACACGACACGAUGGAAUCAUUUUGUGAUCAUGAUUUAUUGUCAUAUUCGUAUUUCUCGAAGAUAUUUGCAAGUGGCAACCAUAUACACACAGUGGGAGGACGUUUCAAACAUGUAAACUCACAGAAUAGCCACCUAAUUAGCUCUUCAAACAUUAUCCAGCAUCAUACAAAAUUCAGAAGAAUAUAUGUACCAUGUCAUUUCAGAACUUCCUAAACCAUGUUGAGGCUGAACAUAUCCAGGGAAUGCCAUGCCAACAGCAGGAACUCCCAUGCCACCAGGAUGCUGCCCUCCAAAUUGCAUAACUGUGCCACACCAGAGCCGAUUGAAAGUCAGACAUUUAAAAACUUAAAUCUUUUCUGAACAGACAUACAUUGUAAAAUCACAAGAAAACCAAGGGCUGCUGAUAAAUCAAAAGAACUUGGUACCAAAAUCUCUAUCACAAAAAAUAAGAUAAACAGUUGACUUUUCACAUGUUUACAAAUUAAACUUGGUGCAUGAAUUCCGACGACAGAAGAGAGAGGUUUGAAGUUGCAAUUUGUAUAUUGGAUCCAAAAUUUCCUGUCAGUAAGGUUGAUACUUAAAUGGAAAAUAGCUAAGUAAAACUAACCUGGUAAGAAGGCUGGGAAGUUCUGAUCUCCAUGACUACCACCCAUACUGCCCAUAGCUCCACCAUAAACAAAGCCCCUUCCACUACCAUAGGAAGCUCCUCUUCCCUUUCCAACCAAUGUGCCUUUUAAUUUACCUGAUUCUGAUGUGGUAUCAAUUUCUCCAGGAUCUGUUUUUGUAGGAGAUGAAGAUUGAGAUCCACUACCAGGUCGAUGACCCAGCUGUGGUGCAGGGGCUUGUACAGAAGAUGAAGUUCGACCUGGCACAGAACUUCUCUGAGCAGCAUGGAGCUGAGUAGGAGCAGUUCUGUUCACUCGGGUAUGUGAAGUAGCUGGCUGAUAAUUCAUGUGUGCAGGGAUUACUCCACCCCUUCCACGAGCCCUUAGAUGAGGAGAGUGAGAAGGAUUAACUCCAGAAGAUUGCAAAUUGUUCAUAGGCUUUCCGGCAGAUGGAUUGACAGAGUCGUCAAUAUACAGCUUGUCCAUGCUGAUAGAAUCAACAACAUUCUUUCCCCGAAGCGAGGCAUUGUUUUGUUGAACUGAAAAACCCUCAUUGGUAGGGAGAAAGUUCUUGCUUGUGGUUCCAGUUUGGACAUCCCUUUUUGGAGUCAGAUUAAUCUCUUUGUUGGAAGAUCCUGAAGGGUAAAAGGGGGGAGAUGCAUAGUUCAAAUUUGAAGACACUUGUUUCUUAGCAGGCGCGGGAUCAGAUUCUGAAGUGGAGGCGGGUUCGAAAAUUCUCCCUGAGCUAACAUGUGAGGUUUUCUCAAGAGACUCCAAAG